Long non-coding RNA from Papaver somniferum (opium poppy), 4529 nucleotides. RefSeq lists it as uncharacterized. The record is from RefSeq and is a predicted model, not a curated record. Lineage: Eukaryota; Viridiplantae; Streptophyta; Magnoliopsida; Ranunculales; Papaveraceae. The transcript is spliced from 2 exons.
UUCUUCGUCUUCACAAUACAGGAGGUUAAGUUUCUUCUUCUUUCUUCUUGCAGGGUUUCUUCAUGGAUCUGCAUGUGGAAGGAUGAGAAUGGAAUCAUUUGGUGAGUUCUCUUUUGCUUUUUUCCUGAAGAUUCUAGGCUUCUUAGCAGACAAAGGAUACAGGAGGUUUUCCUUCCUUCCUGUUUCAUCAUCUUCUUCUUACUGGAAGGUUUUGUUGUUGGUAACAUGGAUCUACACAAAUGCAUAUAGAUGUGAUCAUUAUGUGAUUUUUUUUGGUGAUGAUAUGAUUGAUUACUAUGGUGACUAAGAUUGUGGUUUUGUUGCUGAUCUUAUAUACAUACAUGUCUGACUCUAUAUGAAAAAGGUGGUAGAUAAAUUACUUCAGAACUUAUACUAGGAAUUUCUUAAUCCUUAAAAAGAAUACAACAUGACCCAGGUCUAAUGACAAUAUGUAACAUCAAGAUAGAUUAAGAAAAACAUAGAUCCAGCUUAAGUAAAGGGAAACAAGUAAUGGAUGCAGCAUGAAGAUGUUCUAAUUUGUGAUCUUCUACUGAUUUUUCCCUUGUUAUUAGUAUUUAGUAAAUAUCCAGCAGUGAUUGUGUAUCCACAAAACAAACUAAGCCCAAAUGCAGUCACACACUAGGCUAUCUUGCUUUCAAGUAGAGAUAGAAUGUUCACUUUUUAGUGCAUCCCUGCACAAUGGCAAACAGAAGAUAGCAUUCACACGCAGGCUAUCUUGCUUCAAGUAGUGAAUGAUGCACAGAAUGUUCAUAUUUUAGUUAUGUCCUCACCGAUCUCCACAAAAUCUCUAUUGAAGAGUCUUACGGAAAAUUUGCAUAUAUGAACACACAAAAGCUUUGUACUGAGUAGAAAUGUUCUAGGCUGUUUUGUAAGCUUCUGCGUUUGAAAUUGAGAUUGGUUUUUGGCUCAUCUAGUUGUAAGGUGAUGGUGGGAUGGCAGCUUUAGUAAGGAAUUGUAGUUUAAUCAAAAUUAAGGAGAUUUUUUUAAGUUACAAUAGAUUGAGUAUGGUAUUCGGCUCAUCUAUACUAUUGAACAGGAAGUUGCACUGAAAAAUACAUUAUGUUCUGCAUGAUGUAUUAUGCAUUAGUGUGGUCUUUUGAUAUUCGAUUAGACAGAGAUUUGGUGUAUGCUAUCACAUCAGAAGCCUCAAAACUGUAUCUUAAUAUCUAGUAUGUUUUCACUUGAAUGCUAAUUAUCUUCUUAGUGUUUAUUGCUCAUUUGGUUGAUUCCUAAUUGCAGUAUAUCAUAUUAUGCUUAUGUGUAAACGCUAAAGGUCAACGAGUGGGAAAAAGUUGUUGACCUUCUGGUUACGUAAACCAACUUGUGUUGACCUUUAACUAGGUCAUCUGAUCUGUAACUAGGUCAUUUAAAGAGACAGUUAUAGCUCAGAUGACCUAGUUAGCCUUGAAAUUUUAGUCACACAUUUCUCUUUAAAUUUAUUAUGGUACAUUACUCGUUGCAGUUGAAGUUUGUUAUCUUGUGUUGGACUUGUCUACGACAAUUGAAACCCGUACACACAUUUUUUCGUUCCCUCUUUUUUCCCUAUAAUGAUGAAGACCAUAAGUUAAAUUAAUGGGAUGAGUUUUCUGGGAAUAGAAACAAGGCAGUUUUACGAGCAUAUGCCUGGAUAGUGUCGUAAUGUGCUUUUGAUGACAUGAUCUUUACCAUAGUAAACAUGUUCCUCCUAGGUUACUUGAUGUUCUGACCCUCUUUGCUUGGAUUGCAACUGAAAAAAUAACACCGCCAUCAACAAAUUCGAAGCACUGAAUUUCAUGUCUGUUUAACUUUCUAUUCAUCAGUACUUUCUCUAUUUCUUAUGUUCUCAUAUGGUAGUGAUAUGGUAAUGGAGUAACUAUUUGUUACACAUGGAAGGGACAUGGCUAAUCACAAGAUUGCAUCUAAUCUUUAUCCAGUGAAGCAAGGCUAACGUAUUAGCCAGCAUAGCGAUUUUGGUCGGUUCUUGUACUUUUUAGUAUUUAUUAAAAAUGUUGUGAUUCACAGGGAUACUUUGCUUAUACCUCGUAUUUAUGGUAAGGAUUACUACAACUGGGACUAUGGUUGAACUUCUCUUCUUCUUCGCUUGUUUUCUAUUUUCUGUAUGCAUGCUUACAUUCUCUUUUGCAUCUUCAUCAUCUGGAGAUAACGAAACCUGGGACUAACUUAAGUUUUGAAGUACAUCCAAUUAGUGAUUCUUCUUUGAUAACUGUUUGUUUUGUGCAUGUAAAGUUUAAAUUCUUACAAUAAACAUGUGUUUUUAUCAAAACGAAUAGACAAUCCUUUGUUUCAUUACAUGAGAUAACUAUCGCAGUGGGUUUCCUUUUCUCUUUCAUCAAAAGUGUUAGGAUCAACAUGGCUUGCUCAUGCCAUCCUUAGACUCUAGGGUUAUAGUUUUCAGACACGAUAGGCCCCCUGCUAGCAUGCGAGCAAGACGCGUGCAAGUGGCGUGGUGCCUAUAUCACGGUUGUUUUUUCACAGUUUAAUGUAUAUACAGCUUAAUUGACUCACUGGAAACAACCAUGAUGGGCGCCACACCACUUGCACACGUUUUGCUCGCGUGCUGGCGUGUAGCCUGUCGUAUUAGAACUAAAAUCCUAGAUAAUGGGGAUUCCAGAACCUGUUUGGGUGAAAUGCGAGAUCCUUGACUUCAGAUCUCGCCACAUCCAAAUUGGUGAGUAACUCGUGUGAAUUCUAACAUAUUUGUAAUGGAUAUCUCUCGAUGGAUAAAAAUUUCCCUUGUGCUUCAGAUUUUAUUUUAUAGAUAAUGAUUACAUAAAUUGGAACUCCCCAUUUGCAUGGUUUUGAUAGAGAAGAUAGAGUGUCUUCAAUUCUACCAAACAGCGGUAAGAAAACGCAUGUUUCAUUGGAGAAUGUUGGAUUUUCUUUAUCUUGAUGAAAUGAUGUAAAUUGAUAGCUGCCUUUUUGAAGCGAGGAUGUACUAUCAAUCACCACCAUCCUGUUUGUAUGAACUCUAAACGCAAUGUUGUUGUAUUCCACAAGUAGUACAUGUUCCUAUUACUAUCAUUACAGACUGCAUUCACCAACUAGAUUAAUUAAGUCAGUGAUACCUGUUCGGUUUUACCAGAUCCUUCAGCAUUGCCAUUGCCAGCCAGCCUCAUACCAACAUCAUUCAUAUAAAUGACCUACUUUAUCUUUCAUUUUGAUUAUCCGUCUUGACUGAGGUUGUGACUUGGAUAGAGUAGAUAAUUUGGGAAGCAGAAAACCUGAAGAAGAAAAAGAUUUAGGUUCCACUUUAAGGACGCCAAGUGAAACAAGAAAAAAAGUGAAAAAGACAGAAAACAGAGAAGAAACAGUACAGCUAAACCAAAACUUUAUUGCUUUGUCAUUAUUAUGAUUCCUUGUUGUACUUGCUGUUUUCCAGUCUUAGAAAAAACUGCCAAACACGGUACAGUUGAGCUGAAAGAUGUCUGUCAAGAUUAAAAGAGUUUUGGCUUUAAAUUUAGGUAAAGCAUGCUAGGUUUUCUUCUAACUCAUGAUCAUUCUCUUGAAUGAGAUCUAUUUGCUUUCUUUAGUUUCUUCUAUAUUUACUAAAGAAAUAUUCUACUCUUUCAUUUUGUAGUUCUGAAUCUUUUGGUUCAUAUUAGUUUUUUUUUUCUUUUGUUCCUACUUUCUUUUUUGUUUUCUUGAUUAAAGUUUACUGUUGGGUGCAAUUCCUAUAGUUCGCUUGCAGCAUAUUUAGGGAUUACUGACCAAGUUUUCUCAGUAAUUUUUUCGCUGGUUCAUGUGUUUGUAAGGUUUUCUAGAUCAUUCUAACUCGAUGGAUUUUUGUGGAUUGAAGUUUCGCUUGACGGAAGAGAGAGGUCACUCUUGUUGACAUUCUUGAAAGGGACAUGAUUGUGUUCAAGAGUGCCCUCUCUCUAUCUGUCAUACUUCUUUGCGAUCGACAAGCAUGCAAUCCUUUUAUAUGCAGGUGUUUGCUUAUGCUUUCGACCUGUUCUUGCUGGGUCCAAGCUCCAACUUCACAAGGUGAUUUGCCUCGUUAACAAAGACACAGAAGAGGAGACUAUAGACACAGAAGUUUUGCAGGGCUGAGGAGAGAGGUCAGUCUAGUCGACAUUCAUGAAAGGGACAUGAGGCAUAUCAUUAUAUAUGGAGGUCUGCGUUUGACAUGUUCUGCAUCCAAGCCACAACUUCACAAGGUAGCUCCCAGAACAAAUAUACAAAAGUGCCAAAGACUAGGCGACACUAAAGGAUCUCCAAAAGAGGUUCAUCUGAAGAUGGCUGGUUGUAGAGCUCUGUUUUUACCAGAAACACCACUUCAUCCACAUUCAUCAAAGAGCCCUCAAUGCUUAUCUUAUUGCACUCCUUUCUAAUCUGCAGCAAAACGGGAAGCAAUAGUCUGCAGCCACUCCUGAUGACACACACACACACCCCAAAUGGUUGAUAGUGAAAAUCUUGUUAUGCUUAGAUCUUUUUCAGUUAUUCCGUUAAUAUCAAAAAGCAUUUUGGUUGAACCAAUAAACUUGUCUCGUGUAUAUUUUAAAACUUCA